CCUCGCGGAUGGAUGCAGCUGUUGUUGUAGUUCCACUGGAUAGAGUCGCGUGAGUGAAUCGGGAAUCAAUCGAUAGAUAGAUAGAUAGAUAGAUAGAUAGAUAGAUAUUAUUCAUCCCAUGAGGGACACCGGAGGACACCUUUGGAAGGACUUCUAAGCACCGGAGAAGAGAGAAGGGGGUCCACUCAGUGCCGACCGGAGCGUGAUGGACCCCCUGGCCGACAUACGCGCGUCUCAGGCGGAGCGCAGCAGCAGAGGAGCCGCCGGUGGGGAAUCAGCGGACGAGCAGAAACGCGGCUGCGGGAGAGACGCGGCGAUGAGCGGCAGCGACAGUCUGAGCAGCUUCGCCGACAUGGAAGACUCGCUGGAGGACAAGCUCAAAGGUCUGGCGUUCAGGAAGCAGAUCUCGUACAGAAAUAUCCAAACAUUCUUAAAAAUACAUGAGAAGCAACGCUGCAUAAGAUAAUCAGACGAGAGGAGAAAAGACAAGGGGGAGGAAAAUGAAUGUAGGACAGAGGGAUGGAGGGGGAGAGUGUCUUUGCUCCGUCAUGUGGUGAAGGACGAGGUGAAUGUGGCCCACAGCAGCUGGUCUGCCGGGAGACCCUGAAGUUUGACCCUGACGAGAAGGAAAGGGAGAAGGGUACGGAAGGAGAGAGAAAUAAGAGACAAAGAUGAGGUGAGAGUUAAGGAGGAAGGUGAGAGGCUGAAGACCUGAGAUAAUCUUGAGAAAGAUAAAGAGAGACUGAAGAGGAUUGUUCUUUAAAAACAGGUCCUAUAUAUUUAUACCCUUUAGAAGAGGAAGGAAAGAGGGAACAAGAGAGGGGUUGAGGAACAGAUUGUCACAUCGCCAUGAGGAAAGGACACACAAACACUCUGCUGUCCCUCAUCUGUGAGAGAGGAACAGAGACAGAGCAGAGACAGGCCGGACAGAACGACAUGUGAGGAAUGACAGUCAUCACUGGACUGUGGAGGGAAAGUGUGCGUCGCAGAGUUAGGCUGGGUGGUGAUGGAUAUAAAUAUCUGAGCCCUGUUGUUUGGGGAGUUGAAGCGGGAAAAGCCCAGGCUUCCUGUCUGACCACUAAACCAGCAGGAGGGGUGUUCUUUUGCACACUUAUAAGUUCACAGUAUCCUCAAUGCAUGUUGACUUUCAGUGCAUGUUGAGCAUUUAAUGAAACGCUAUAAAUGAAUAUGGUACUACACAAUGAAUGCAUUACCAAACUAAUGCAUUUAAAGAUUUAAAACGCUAGAAAGCUACUCGUUCUAUGAGUGGCAGACACAUGCACAGAAAAACACCUGCUGCCAGUAAACAGUUAGUCUGGAUUUGUAUCAUGCAUUUCCUACGCUGUUAGAAGAAGGCGCAGAGUUAAUUUAGCUGAAAUAAUAGCAAAUCACAUUCAUCUGUCAGUGAAUCAGGCUUGCUGAGCUCCUCCAUCAACAGCUCCACCACAGAUGUUAUCUGGGUUUUC
Cyprinus carpio (common carp) is the source of this 1466-nucleotide long non-coding RNA. Lineage: Eukaryota; Metazoa; Chordata; Actinopteri; Cypriniformes; Cyprinidae. The record is from Ensembl.